AUGUGAUGUGACAUGCCCGUUUGGGUUUUACUCUGAUGUUGAAUUGUUAUAAUUUAAUUGAUUUUGGGAAACGGGGUGUUACAUGCACG
This is a microRNA precursor of Medicago truncatula (barrel medic), 89 nucleotides long. It matches the Rfam family "MIR2617 microRNA precursor family". The record is from Rfam. NCBI's taxonomy places the organism in Eukaryota, Viridiplantae, Streptophyta, Magnoliopsida, Fabales, Fabaceae.